CACACACCAGCAAUCCUGAGUGAGCUGAGCCUGAGAAGAAGCCCUCGCAUCAAGCAGCUGGCGCUGGGCAGGACGACAUCUGGCCCCUUCUAUUCUGCGUCUCAGCCACAGCCUCGGAGUGUGCAGAGGGCUCACUCGUCUCAGCAAAGCCGGUCAGGUAAGGUGCCUGCCCCGCAUCCACGCUGACUUGGUGGGGAGUACUUUUGGGAAAAGCAAUGAGAUUUGGCCUCUGGUUUCUGGGCAUGGGAGCAGUAGAGCUGGUGAGUGUAUUUGAGGUCCGGGUGAUGAGCAAUCGGGGUCUAUGAUCCGCAUCAUCCCUUCGGAGUCUGACAGCGGCCGCCCACACCAUUCCCGUGAGGAAUGCGUCCCCUGCAGAGGGCGUGACCUGUUUCCCAGCCUGUGCUCACGUCCUACACGCGUCCCAGGGGAAGGCGGAUCUGUGUGUGUCUCCGACCAUGGGGCCUGGGUUAACCGCAGUCUCAUUAACCCUCGGGGAGGCAGCAUGACCGUAGUGGUUGCUGACGUCAUCCCCUCCUGUUCUCGCCUUGCAGACCAGAGUGGGUCUCCUCCCCUCCCGCGGAUUCGGUCUCCGAAGACGCUGCUUUUCGGGGCCGUGUCCGAGGUGGUCGGGCCCUCGGAGGAGGGCGCGGCUCGACGUACAGGGCCUUCCGGAGACACAGUGGCCUCUGAGAUGCCGACAGCUUACCAGGUAGGACAUGUCUAUCGUGUUUAAAACCGUCUCGGGGAGCAGACAGACGGCCAGGGAAACACUGCGCAGUGACGGGGAGGCUCACGGUGCUGAGUCGCCUUCCUUAGUGACCAGCUGAGGUGGAAAUUCCAACAGGCAGCGUUAGGUUGGCAAAACGUUGGACCCGCCUUUAAAACUUUUAUUUAAAGUUGGAGAUUGUCCAUAUUUCAUUGCCCCGGCGUUUAGUCCUGAGAGCAAGUCUGGUCAGUGAAGAGGUUGGUCUCAGUGCCUCAGGCGGCUCCCAGUGAGGCCUGCCGUGUGAGCAGCAGCCAUGUGCGUCUGGAAAAACAAAAGGAAGUUUAGCAAUUACAGAAGGUAGGUAAGGGACAGUGUAGAAGAAAGAAUACAGACAGAGUGUAGAGAGAGAGAAGAAAGGGAGAUGUGGAAUGAGAGAAGAGGCAGGUCAAAGAAGUGAGAAGAAUGAAAUUAGAGAAAAAUGAGUUCUGAGAAGGAGAUGGGAGAUUGAAGGGGGAGGUCAGAGUUAAGAUAAUUCAGAGAGAAGAAGGUUGGGAAAUUAGAUUUGAGAGAAGAGUGGGAUAAUAGAGGGAGUGAGAAAUGUAAGGCAGAAGAUAGAACAGAAAGAGAAGAGCGAGGUAAAGAAGGAUGAGUCUAGAAGUAGAAGAAACUGGAGAGAGGAGUCACAGGGAGAAAGUGACAAGAAUGAAAUCAAUCUGAGA
Myotis davidii is the source of this 1425-nucleotide RNA transcript. It is a transcript of the gene named treslin-like, with no coding region annotated. NCBI's taxonomy places the organism in Eukaryota, Metazoa, Chordata, Mammalia, Chiroptera, Vespertilionidae. The transcript has 2 exons. The record is from RefSeq and is a predicted model, not a curated record.